CGAGGGUGCAAGCGUUAAUCGGAAUUACUGGGCGUAAAGCGAGUGUAGGCGGCUACUUAAGUCGGAUGUGAAAGCCCCGGGCUCAACCUGGGAAUUGCAUUCGAAACUGGGUAGCUAGAGUUUGGUAGAGGUAAGUGGAAUUCCGGGUGUAGCGGUGAAAUGCGUAGAUAUCCGGAGGAACAUCAGUGGCGAAGGCGGCUUACUGGACCAAAACUGACGCUGAGGCUCGAAAGCGUGGGGAGCAAACAGGAUUAGAUACCCGAGUAGUCC
Molecule: ribosomal RNA, 270 nt
Filed under: uncultured archaeon
Lineage: Archaea
Description: partial 16S ribosomal RNA
Rfam family: Bacterial small subunit ribosomal RNA
Source: RNAcentral